CCAAUAGCGUAUAUUAAAGUUGUUGCAGUUAAAAAGCUCGUAGUUGAAUUUCGGGGUCAAUACGUCGGUCGUGCCUCGGUACGUACUAACGUUAUUGAUCCCUCCCUUCUGACGAACCGUGAUGUCAUUAAUUUGGUGUUGCGGGGAAUCAGGACUGUUACCUUGAAAAAAUUAGAGUGUUUAAAGCAGGCAAUCGCUCGAAUACAUUAGCAUGGAAUAAUGAAAUAGGACGUUCGAACCUAUUUUGUUGGUUUCUAGGAUCGACGUAAUGAUUAAUAGGGAUAGUUGGGGGCAUUAGUAUUCAAUUGUCAGAGGUGAAAUUCUUGGAUUUAUUGAAGACUAACUACUGCGAAAGCAUUUGUCAAGGAUGUUUUCAUUAAUCAAGAACGAAAGUUAGGGGAUCGAAGACGAUCAGAUACCGUCGUAGUCUUAACCAUAAACUAUGCCGACUAGGGAUCGGAUGAUGUUAAUUUUAUAAUGACUCAUUCGGCGCCUUACG
This 499-nucleotide ribosomal RNA is filed under the name uncultured Glomeromycotina. RNAcentral describes it as "partial small subunit ribosomal RNA". It matches the Rfam family "Eukaryotic small subunit ribosomal RNA", at positions 591 to 1092 of the family's 1831-position model. Lineage: Eukaryota; Fungi; Glomeromycota. The record is from RNAcentral.